UGCCAUCAUAGAUUUUUAUUAAACUAUAUAUUAAUAAACCAUUUCGAUGCCAGUUCUGGCAGCUCAUUGCAUCAGCAGUUGCAGCCUGUACAGCAGAAAGGCGUCUGGGUGGAGCCAGUGCAAGAAGAAGAGCAAAGGGGAAGAAUCUCCAUGGAAUCACAUGGGAGCUCUAAGUAUAUCACAACACACUUCAGCCUUACUGCAACCAACACGGGAAGAAGGACAACAAAAUCAUGUUCAAGUAAAUGUAAGAGGACAAGCAGAAAGAAAUUACCAUGUCACUACUGCACACCUCCACGUACACUGGUUCGACUCAGAGCCAGAACUGAAUUACCAAUGCUGAAAUCACACUGAUAAAAAAAAAAAUACCUCAGAUAAAAUACAAAAUGCAAGAAUGAAUAAAACAAUUAGAAGUACAUUAUUUGAAACAAAUGAAAUGUAUAAACACUGAUGGCAAAAAUCUAGUGCACUACCCAAAAUAUUUCCACAGCCAACGGACAUCCACACAGCCUGAGGCCAAAGGUUCAGCGGUUUCACACUUUCAAGUACUAAUGGUUCACCAAAUCCUUAACAAUUUGACGCAUAGAGGCAAAGUGAAAAACGCUGAAAGAUUUAAAAUCCACAAGCCAUUUCUCAUUCAUCGGGCUCAGAGAGGAAAACGACAAAAGGGAAAAGAGAGAGAUUUAAAUACCCUCAAUGUUCAGAUUCAACUGGGCAACAUCAAAGUGGUGCAGCGUAAUAACAACUGACAUACCAGAGGCCUUCACUGACACAUGGCAGCGAUGUCUUUCAUUUCACAAAACAGAGCCUUUAUUCACAUAAACAAUCAACCAAUAAAACACAUGGCAGCAAAUUAUACUGGGAAAAGUUUCAAAACUGAAGACAAGUGACAGAAAUCAGGAGAUAGACUGAAACUCUUACAAACCUUCAAGAAACAAAGUUGCCUGACAGGAUGAGCUGACUGCUGCAAAUUAUAUUCAAAAGCAUCAAAUGACUGAAUUCAGUGAAAGGGCUGAGCACUGUAGUUUGACCAGACUUAAAUGAAACUGGCUAAUUUAUGACUGAAGGUAACAAGGUGAGUCCAGUCGGUGAUUCUCCUUAACUUGGUUAGUUUCUGUUGCUGGAGUGGUAUGAUCACAAAUGCCACUCAUUUGUUGUUUAAGUUGAUAUUUUAAAAGUCCCACAUGGUGAAAAUAAUUUUUUAUUGUGUUUUGUCUGUUCAAAAUUCUGAGGUGUAAAAUAAAAUGUGAGAAUAUGAAAACACUUACUGCAGCUUUCCCCUCCAAUCCCCUGAACUAGAUGGCCUCGCAACUUUACAAGACAGUCAAAGUUGAGUUGCAUUUAGAGGUGGUGGAAACUUAAAGAAUGACUUGAAACCAAUAAACAAGCCGGUGGUUAAAAUCAGUUUGUUCAAGUAUCAAAUAUUGCCUGGAAUGCAGCCCAUUAAUGCUACAUGUUAGCCAGCAGACACUUAAGAAUCAUUUCCACGCUGCUGUUGUGGGCCGCUAAAAUACCGAUUUUAUAACCACAAUGUUGUCUGUCAAACUCACCACAUGAGUUAAAAACAACGGCUGUGCUGUAAAUUCUGGGAUAUUUCUAGGUAAAAUGAUUUAGAACUAAUAAAAAUAUCUGCUGUCAAUUAAAGAUGGCGUUUUCUUCCUGAAGGGGGUGGGGACAGCAGCAGCAUAGCUGUAUUAAAUGCAAGACACUGAAAAAGCCUGUUUGGAACAAGACUUAAGCCAGGAGUUAUACAGUCAUGGUAAAAUGAACCAUCUUUGUAGUAUUUUGAACAGGCAAAUUGAAAGACAUGCUGUGGGACACGUGAGUUUUUUAUUUUUGAUUAACACAAUUUGGGACCUUUAAAAAUACAAAUAGGCAGACAAGACAUAUCACCAUGACAUCUUCAUUGUUUGUUUUUUUUUUUGUCUUUUUUGUUUUUUUUUCAUGUUUUUAGGACCAUUAAGUUAUUACAUUUCAAAAGAGCUAGGUCAGACUGCACCAACAUAUCUACGCUCGUAUUUGAGCAGGAUAUUUUGGUACUUGUUCUGAAGGCUAAAAAUAGCCAGCAGCAGCCAGACAUCACAGAAGGCUCAGCGUGGCACGGCCCCACCAUCUUCCUUAUCACAUCAAUGACGCUGGCUUACUCGUCCCACUAUCAUCAAGCCUGGAUUAUGGCCAUCUUCUAAAUUACUUUUUGGAGACAAAUCUAUUCUUCAAUCUCAGGCAGAUGGCCAUCUGGCCCACUGUAAUCGUCCGCUUUCCUUUGUCUCCUUGUGACGAUCUCCUCCGACAGAUGUUGAACCAGAUCAGACCUGCUGAUUAACGAGGACAGCCAGUCAAACCAAACUGAGAGACGGCAGUCAGCCAAGCUCAACUCCAACCAUCCAUUCAGGAAUCCUCUCAACCGUGUUUCCCCUAAAAUAUGGACUUCAAAUUACGAUUACAAUCUAAAUCCAAGUUACUGCUGGGGAUGCUGCUUUGACGUAUGUGUUAAAACAUUAUCUCCUCACCAGAACGCUCCUUUAUAAAUAUAUAUGUAUAUAUAUUUAAAUAAACAUCAUCACAUAUGUUACACAACCAUGAUACCAUCAGCAUUAAUAAAAAAUAACACCAUAAUGGAAAGAACCUAAUUAAAAGGACAAAAAAAAACCCCAAAACAAAACAAACCCCCUUCCCCACCCCGACCUGAUUUUCAUGAAUGAAUUUUUUUAUAUAGUUGGACCACCGGAGACCAUGUUCAGAUGACAGACAGGACAGAUGGUUAUAUCCCUGCAUUCAUUUACAGCACUAUAAGUAAAAAUGCCAAUUUUGCCAAAGAACAAAAACAUUCCAACCUAUCUGCAUUUGCAACAGCAUAUGAGAUUGCAUGCAGAUCUUUCCAACAACGCUCUGAUAAUUAGCCACAUCUCUGACAAAAAAUAAAAUAAAAAUAGUCCACUUUUAAACCCAAAAUUAAAAUUACAAUUGUUUUGAGGCUUUGAAGAAGAGAGAGUUUGUUUGUCCUUCUUGUGUCUCAGGACCCUGGAGCAGAUUACGUAGCCGUCCUUGCUGUCACUCAGUGGCCACACUAAUAACCACCACAACCUGAGAGACAGGGCGCACCAAAAACAGUCCCAGGUACGAGUUCAAACAACAGCCAGAACAGACAGAGAAAAGGGUAUAAUCAACUGAGUGAUUUCUGGUGAUGAGCGGACAGACAGCUUAGCUUUGAACUCAUCUUGGGCCUGUACAGCUCCAUUCAGUUUAGGCUGGGGAAGACGUUUAACAUCUGUCAUCCAAAGGAAAGACUGGUCGUUUCUCAUGUCAAGGUGGGUCUCCAGGGUUUGGAAAGUAGCAACAGCAGAGAUGUAACAGCAGGUUUAGAGAGGCUAGAGUGCAGACGCAUCCUGUGACAAGGCACUUGUGCUGGUGAAGGGAGGAAGAUGCUGGAACAGAGGUUGGAGGGAAAAGGGGGAGUGGAGAGGGGACAAGGGCCUGAAAGAAGGCACAACGCUGUGGAGUCCUCCCCUGUAAGGAGGGGAAGGCUUGACUCCAGACUGAGGUCCAGCAGGACGGCGGCAGCAGAGGAUCAGCCCAGCACCUUCAGCCCAGGACAAGGUCCACAGAUGUGGAGUGCAGUGUGGAGCACCACACUCCCUCCGCCCCACAGAGAUUUUCAGGUGCUGACUAAGCGA
Amphiprion ocellaris (clown anemonefish) is the source of this 3674-nucleotide long non-coding RNA. The record is from Ensembl. NCBI's taxonomy places the organism in Eukaryota, Metazoa, Chordata, Actinopteri, Pomacentridae.